Molecule: ribosomal RNA, 389 nt
Filed under: uncultured bacterium
Lineage: Bacteria
Description: bacterial SSU rRNA
Rfam family: Bacterial small subunit ribosomal RNA
Source: RNAcentral
GACGGGUGAGUAACACGUUGGGAACGUACCCUUUGGUUCGGAACAACCCUGGGAAACUAGGGCUAAUACCGGAUACGCGCGAGAGCGGAAAGGUUUACCGCCGAAGGAUCGGCCCGCGUCUGAUUAGCUAGUUGGUGAGGUAACGGCUCACCAAGGCGACGAUCAGUAGCUGGUCUGAGAGGAUGAUCAGCCACAUUGGGACUGAGACACGGCCCAGACUCCUACGGGAGGCAGCAGUGGGGAAUAUUGGACAAUGGGCGCAAGCCUGAUCCAGCCAUGCCGCGUGAGUGAUGACGGCCCUAGGGUUGUAAAGCUCUUUUACCCGGGAAGAUAAUGACGGUACCGGGAGAAUAAGCCCCGGCUAACUUCGUGCCAGCAGCCGCGGUAAU